AGAGUUUGAUCCUGGCUCAGAACGAACGCUGCGGCAUGCCUAACACAUGCAAGUCGAACGAUGCUUUCGGGCAUAGUGGCGCACGGGUGCGUAACGCGUGGGAAUCUGCCCUUGGGUCUGGGAUAACAGUUGGAAACGACUGCUAAUACCGGAUGAUAUCGCGAGAUCAAAGAUUUAUCGCCCGAGGAUGAGCCCGCGUCAGAUUAGCUAGUUGGUGGGGUAAAGGCCUACCAAGGCGACGAUCUGUAGCUGGUCUGAGAGGAUGAUCAGCCACACUGGGACUGGGACACGGCCCAGACUCCUACGGGAGGCAGCAGUGGGGAAUAUUGGACAAUGGGCGCAAGCCUGAUCCAGCAAUGCCGCGUGAGUGAUGAAGGCCUUAGGGUUGUAAAGCUCUUUUACCCGGGAUGAUAAUGACAGUACCGGGAGAAUAAGCCCCGGCUAACUCCGUG
This 452-nucleotide ribosomal RNA is filed under the name uncultured Sphingomonas sp. RNAcentral's name for it is "bacterial SSU rRNA". It matches the Rfam family "Bacterial small subunit ribosomal RNA", at positions 8 to 507 of the family's 1533-position model. Lineage: Bacteria; Pseudomonadati; Pseudomonadota; Alphaproteobacteria; Sphingomonadales; Sphingomonadaceae. The record is from RNAcentral.